RNAcentral lists this ribosomal RNA (433 nucleotides) under uncultured bacterium. Its description in RNAcentral is "partial 16S ribosomal RNA". It matches the Rfam family "Bacterial small subunit ribosomal RNA", at positions 29 to 507 of the family's 1533-position model. The record is from RNAcentral.
AACGAACGCUGGCGGCAUGCCUAACACAUGCAAGUCGAACGAGACCUUCGGGUCUAGUGGCGCACGGGUGCGUAACGCGUGGGAACCUGCCCUUAGGUUCGGAAUAACUCCCCGAAAGGGGUGCUAAUACCGGAUAAUGUCUUCGGACCAAAGAUUUAUCGCCUUUGGAUGGGCCCGCGUUGGAUUAGCUAGUUGGUAGGGUACAAGCCUACCAAGGCGACGAUCCAUAGCUGGUCUGAGAGGAUGAUCAGCCACACUGGGACUGAGACACGGCCCAGACUCCGACGGGAGGCAGCAGUGGGGAAUAUUGGACAAGGGGCGAAAGCCUGAUACAGCAAUGCCGCGUGAGUGAUGAAGGCCUUAGGGUUGUAAAGCUCUCUGACCCGGGAUGAUAAUGACAGUACCGGGAGAAGAAGCUCCGGCUAACUCCGUG